UACGCCUACGGGGCGCAGCAGUGAGGAAUAUUGGUCAAUGGGCGGGAGCCUGAACCAGCCAAGCCGCGUGAGGGAAGAAGGUACAGCGUAUCGUAAACCUCUUUUGUCAGGGAACAAAGGCGGGGACUAGUCCCCGGAUGAGGGUACCUGAAGAAAAAGCAUCGGCUAACUCCGUGCCAGCAGCCGCGGUAAUACGGAGGAUGCGAGCGUUAUCCGGAGUUAUUGGGUGUAAAGGGUGCGUAGACGGGAAAGCAAGUUAGUUGUGAAAUCCCUCGGCUUAACUGAGGAACUGCAACUAAAACUAC
RNAcentral lists this ribosomal RNA (305 nucleotides) under uncultured bacterium. RNAcentral's name for it is "bacterial SSU rRNA". It matches the Rfam family "Bacterial small subunit ribosomal RNA", at positions 334 to 636 of the family's 1533-position model. The record is from RNAcentral.